CAUGUUUACUUAUGCAUGUAGUCUAACUACAAAAAUCCCUCAUGUAUCUUUUAAAAUCAGUGUCUUAGGGUGAUGUAAUGAUGUUUGUAUCCUCAAUCGUCUGUUUGGUUUGUGCUGGAUAUUGCAUUCUGUGCCUUUAAGACUGGGUCUGGCAGCAGAGGAGGAGGGGGAGAAGCACCCAGUUUGUUUUCAGAGACUGCACUACGUAUUCCACAUUCCGGUCUGGAGUGUUGUCUGCUACACGGACAAGCGGUGGUGGGCACAGAGAUUUUUUUUUUUCCCCUUUUCUUUUUCAUUAGUUAGUUUAGCUAGCUGAGGCACAAAAGCUUUGAUGGACUGUUUUUCUCUGCUUUUCCUGGAACUGUUUGAACCUGCUCUGGACUGGAGACCCGGGGGAGCACCGGGGGCUUGUGCCUGGGACCCACCGGGGCAGACCCUUCACAGCAGCUUUUCCCAGCACCGGAGGGACUGAGAACAGAGCAACCACCUACAGCAGAGACUUUCUCUGAAUUUGUCAUCUGGAAGCUCAGCUGGCACAGCCCACUGCCUUUGGACUUUGCUGUUCGUAACAUCCAACCUGGGGAUUUAGGGCUGGUUAAGGAGUAAAAAGAAGCACCACUGGUGGCAAAGUGGCAUGGACCUUUCCAAGUGUCAGUGACCACAGAAACAGCUGUCAAGACAGUUGAACACAGGUGGACCUAUCACACUCUCGUCAUGGUCUCCAAGGCCCUGGAGACUUGAACAUCUUAUCUGGAAGAGAAGGACAGGAGGCCAUGACUGACACUGCAGGAGUGGUCUGGAGCAGCAGCCAGUGCGUCGACAUUUAGAGUGGCACCAUGUGCCUACAGACUGUUUGCUGAAAUAGUCUGUAUGAGCAUCCCUCCUUUAGAAUCUCCCCACCCCAUGGGGCUACUACUUGCUGUUGUUUUCUUUAACUUAAGUGGCUUCUGUGCCUUCACUCACCACAAGUGGUAUGUAAAACAAGGUGAAAAUUUGUCUAGGUCGUUAAAAUACAUUAUUAGAAUAUUUUCUUUAUUAAUUCUACUUUUAUAUUGUCAGCUAAGUUUAGGCCAGGAGUGAAAGAAUCAAUUUGCAGCCUUAGGAGAAGAAGUAGCAAGAGUUUUUAACCUUAGCAAUUGCUGGAUCCAGGGAGAGCCAGGAGGAUCUGAAGAGUGGCCAUGAAUGGCUAGCUCAGUUGAACCUAAAUGGUGGCUCAACACCCUAACUGAGGUCCAUAAUGGGACAGAAUUUAGGGACAAAGAAAGAAGUCCAUGGCCACUUCGUUAUUCUGAAACAGGCACUUAUUGCCGAAAUAGGAUGAGGGGAUCUCUAUAGGAGAAGUGUUUGUGAAUUGACUUUAUCUUUGGGUUGAAACAAUUGUGUUUGGACUCCCAAUUAUCCUCCUUACAAUUGUUCCAAAUAUCAAAGUAAAUGCAAUCAAAUGCCUGUUAAGCUAAUGGUAGCUGGGUAAGGUGUUCCUACCAUAAUUAAUGAAAAGAUUUUGAAGACUGUAAAGCAGUGGGGAGGGACAAGGGGUUUUUUGGACCACCUAUUCUUAAGCUGUCCCCAAGAAAAUUUCACAAGUAGAGCACAUGUUGUUUGUGAUUAUCAGUGGAAAUGGCAACACCAGAAUGAAACUUGAAUCCUGUUUAAUGAGUUCUGGUCCAAAUCCGAACAAACAGCUUGCAGAUGUAAAUGUAGAUGGGAACCCCAUGUGGGAGUUUGGAAAUGCAAAUAAUGUGUCCCUUAUGGUGAGGCAACUGUUGUUGGAGGACCAUUAGGACCAGAAAACAAGCUGUAUUUUGAGCCACCAAUUGAUGACAAAGGGUAGGAAGGCCCCUUUGCUAAUGGAACAUGGGCUUUGAAAGGACAUUAUUGGAUUUGGGGCCAACGCUUAUUGCAGGUUACUUUCAAAUUGCUCAAGGAUAUGUUAUAGGGGGCAUAUUAGACCGUUGUCCUUUUUACUCACACAAGUUCAGGGAAAUCAUUUAGGAAUCAAAACCUACGAUGUUUAAGUAGAGAAAACCAAUCAAUUGAUGCAGUACUGGCUGGAGGGAGCACCCCAGAAUGGGGAAAAUGUCAAUGGCCACCAGAAAGAAUUAUACUGCACUAUGGACUAGCCACUUGGAAUCCUUAUGAAUUAAUAUCAGAUGCCAGAGAACCCAUUUAUAAUUUGAAUGGGAUAAUUAGGUUACAAGCUGUCUUUGAAACAAUAACCAACCAGACAGCUACAGCUCUUGACCUUCUUGCUGACCAAUCCACUCAAAUGAAGAAUGCAAUAUUUCAACAUUGGACGGUAUUAGAUUAUUUAUUAACAGAAAAUGGAGGAGUUUGUGGCAAAUUAAAUGAUUCAGACUGCUGCUGGCAAAGAGAUGGCAACAGAAAAUUGAUCAAAAAAAAAUAACAGUGGAAAUAAAGUUACCUCAUGUACCUGUCCAAGUGUGGAAAAGAUGGGAAUGAGACAUAUUUUCAUGGUUACCUCGCAAUCUGUGGGUUAAAUGAAUACAAUUCCUCUUCUUAUGUACUAAAGCAACUCUAACCCUUUUACCAUGCAUGACACCUUGCUGAGUUCAACUCUUUCAGCAGGUGAUCAAGGGGAUGCAGGUAGUAGACACGCCUAUGGAUACAGAAAUGAAUACAAAAGGAUGGAAAAUUAUGUCACUGGAAACACAUGAAAAAGCAAAGGAGACCCAGGAAGAAAAUCUUUUACCAAUAUGGUUUAAAAAAAAGGUAAUUAUGGUCUGUAAAGACAAAUACAAAGAAAAUAAAAGGAGGAGGGAUUGGAAGGAAUAAGAUUAAUGUGUCUUUACAAACAGACGGUGUGAAUCUACUUUUAGACAAGGCCAGGAACUUCUAGACAGUGAAGUAACGGAAGAAACUCUUAGGUCUAGAAACUGUUACUAAGCAACACAGAUUGUUGCUCAGCCAAGGCCAUGUUAAAUUCCUGAACCCAGAGCAAGAGAAGAGAAACUUCAUAGAAUUAGGAAGAGUUUCUUUUUCUUUCUUUUAUAUAACAGAAGUGAGAGUGCAUAUUAGAGUGGGGCAUAGAGUAGGCAAUUCAGGAAGUCUCUACCUUCUGAUUACUUCAACCAGUGAGGAAAAGGAAGAGGGUGAUGCAGUGGAGAACUCAGUAUAAAAAGGGGGCUUUAUCCACCAACCAUUUGGGAGACCUGAUGGGAAAUGCCCCCAUGGCCUCUCCCUUUAUUCAAAUAAGGUUACAGGACUCUUCUAACAGGACUCUUGGACAUAAACUUCUGCCAUUGUGCAUUAAUUUUUCUAACAGCAGCUAUCUGCCACGGGGUCUUCGUGCGCCCCCACAGCCCUCCAGUCCCCUGGCAGCUCCCCUGCCCGGGACUGCCCGCAGCACUCCGUUCCCUCCCCAGAGCUGCCUGUGGGCUACAGAGCCUUCUCACUACUGGCACCAGCAGGGCCAGGGUCCCCUCUUGACAGCAGUCGAGAGGUUGCAGAGCAGGCAGCUGCGGAACCAUCAACCAUUUUACGCUACGCGGUGCUGCCUCCUCCGUCUUUCCAUCGCCCCUUUUGCUGGUCCCACGGCUGUGCACUCACGGGUGCACCCCGGCUCUGCCCAGCUCUCAGCAGGCCUGGCCGUCGGUGCACCAAGCAUUGCGCCGUGGGCUGCGGGGCAGGCGGGCUGGGCUGGUGUGGCUGUGGUAGCACCAGGAGAGGAACCCCGAGGCAGGGCUGUGAGUGGCAAUGCACUGUGCAUUUCUGCUUCCUGUUGUGAUAAAUGAAUAUGAUUCGUGCUAAUUAAAUUGUAACUAGAUCAAUAUUUUAGAAAAUAGUGGUUAGUAAAGGAAAAGUAUAUGUGGUUAGUGUUACAAAGCAGAUGGGCCCCCUUUUGCAGAAGUUUCAUGAGAAAAUAAGAUAACAGGAUGUAGCUGAGGUAAGUAAAAUCCCAAAACCGAAUAGGCUUUGGGAUAAUUAGAGAAUUGACCUUGGAAAGAGUGAAGUUGGCAUGAUUCCAGGUAUGGAAUCUAAGUUGUGCUUUUAUUUAUGAUAUAAUGAGGCUUAUUUUUGGAAUAUAAUGCUUCCUUAUACAACACAAAGCUUAAAGCACAUGUGCAACCUGUAAGCCUAUCUAGAGGACAGCAAAGAAGAUGACAGCCUUUGUCGGAAAGACCACCAAAAACGGCCAAGAGGCUCCCCCCCAACAAUGAGUGGAGCAUGCGCUAUGAAGUGUAGUGAUGUAGAUUUCAAGAAUGGAAAAUAGGAGAUUUACGGAAAGUAUUAAUGAAUAUGUAUUAGCAUAACAGUAUAUAAGCGUAGUUUGGAUUACUCUGUUUCGUACAUGAGGAGGGAGAUGGUCCCUCUUGGUACCCCAAUUGGUUUUGCUUAUGCCUUAUCAGAACCUUAAUCAGACUUAAUUAACCACUGCCAAGUUUACUUUGUAUAUGCUUGUAUUCAUCUCAAUUAAAACUGCUGCUAAAAUCUAAUUUUGUUGUUUAUGGGACUUCAUUCAUAACACUGUUGCUCAUCGGCGGCCCAGCAGGUGUCAUGUGACCCAGCGGAGCAGCAAGGCCAGCUGGGCAGUGCACAGCCAGGCGUGCAGUGUGUGGCAGCCGCAGCGAGGGGCUUCUGACACUGCCAGUGCGCGUGGUGAGAGUGGAGCUAGGGCAGUGAGGGGUGGCUGCCUUUGCAGAGCCCUCCCUGCCACGCCUGGCCGAUUCUGGUGAACCCGUGGCCCCGCAGCAGCGUAGACCGUCAGGCGUGGAGAGCGCGCUUGGUGCCUUGCCAGCUACUCCAGCUGAGCGCUACACUCCCCCGCAGCGUUUUCCCACCUGUCCUCAGGAGACGUAAAGGACACUGAAUUUGCAGGUUGGCUGUCAAUGGGAGCAACUUCCCUCCAUUUUUUCUCCCGCAAUUCAGCUACCUUGUGGUACAUGCAGUGGUGCUGAACAGGGGUGGUUUGGCACAGACGCUGGCAGAGGUGGUGCAAGAGCUCAAGGCAAGGAGCUUUCAGUGGUGUGUGUGAGUGUGAAAAACAUGGUUCACCUUUGUUAAAAUUCUGAAAGUUUAAUAAUAAAAAUCAGACAAUAAGAGACAAAAAAGAGCAAAAGUUACAGACGUCUGGGUGCCUGGCAUUUCCAUCUCAAGGCACCCCUUGCAACCAAAGGAUCUUCCCUUUAAAACCAUAAGCUAUUGCAUAUUCAUAAAUCUUAUACAUGAUUCAAAUAUGCUUUUUGACUCUGGAUAUUUUCUGCUUAGUCUCAGCUUUUCUCCCCCAUCCCCCUGUAAAUCACUUCUUCCCGUCACUCCACAAAGUCUCAAAUUCCCUGAUAAUGGAGGCAAUAAAUUCUCUCUUUUGGGAUUUUAGUACCUGCUGCUGUUAUCUCUAUCCAGAUAGGAUGAUGUGAAGAAUUUAAUUGUCUUCUUUAUUUCUUGAGGUAGUUACGUGGCCUGUUGGUGAAUUAAGUGUAGCAGUUUAUAUGUGUGAAAAACAAGGUGCACUUUUUUGGUAAAAUUUAAAAAUUUUAAUAAAAAGACAAUAGAAGACGGAGAUAGUAUAGCAAAGGAUUAACGGCAGGGUGCUUGGCACUGAGCUAAGAGCACACUUACUAUUUUUGGAAAUAUUCCUUAAUAUAUCUUUUAAAUUACAUUAGUUUUGUUGAAUAUUUAUAGACUAUUAUGCAUAUUUAUACUUUUCUAUAAACUAGAUUACUAGAUAUUUCAGGAACUAUUUAGUAUGGCCAUUUUUUGAGUCUGCCUUUUUACAGCAUGCAUGUUUCUUGGCUGUAGUUUUAGUCUGUUCUUUUCAUCACUUUUAGUUUGGGCCUUUUUUCAGAUGGCAGAUGCUGAUAGUUAGCAUAUUAGUAGCAGGGUCUUUAUCAUAUGUUUACUGGAUGUUAUCUUGACUAAACAGACAGUUCAUGCAUAACUAUAUUAGCAACCACUACUACUGUGUCUAAGUUUUGUUAAUAGCAGAAAUAAAAGCAAAGUUAUUUUAAUAUUAUACAUAUAGCAUUUAUCUUAAUAUUUGUGAAAAGCCAAUUUUAUAAUAUGUAUUUAUAACAUAUGGCAUUCUGAAAAAAGUGGUGGGUCUUCGUAUGUUCCUCAAUUCUUAACAAAAAUUAAGUCAACAAACCCCUGAAAAUAGGUUUUGCAAAACAUCGGAUUUUUUUUCCUACUAUUAGUAGAGACAAACAUAGUCACCUUGUCUU
This is a long non-coding RNA of Prinia subflava (tawny-flanked prinia), 6179 nucleotides long. RefSeq lists it as uncharacterized. NCBI's taxonomy places the organism in Eukaryota, Metazoa, Chordata, Aves, Passeriformes, Cisticolidae. The transcript is spliced from 2 exons. The record is from RefSeq and is a predicted model, not a curated record.